This 73-nucleotide transfer RNA is filed under the name Candidatus Yonathbacteria bacterium. Its description in RNAcentral is "tRNA-Asn". It matches the Rfam family "tRNA". From Rfam's summary of the family: Transfer RNA (tRNA) molecules are approximately 80 nucleotides in length. Their secondary structure includes four short double-helical elements and three loops (D, anti-codon, and T loops). Further hydrogen bonds mediate the characteristic L-shaped molecular structure. tRNAs have two regions of fundamental functional importance: the anti-codon, which is responsible for specific mRNA codon recognition, and the 3' end, to which the tRNAs corresponding amino acid is attached (by aminoacyl-tRNA synthetases). tRNAs cope with the degeneracy of the genetic code in two manners: having more than one tRNA (with a specific anti-codon) for a particular amino acid; and 'wobble' base-pairing, i.e. permitting non-standard base-pairing at the 3rd anti-codon position. The record is from RNAcentral. Lineage: Bacteria; Candidatus Yonathiibacteriota.
UCCGGCGUAGCUCAGUUGGUAGAGCGGCGAGCUGUUAACUCGUUGGUCGUAGGUUCGAGCCCUACCGCCGGAG